GGACUGGUAGCUCAGUUGGAAGAGCACCACUGGAGGCCACAGGUUCAAUCCAUGUCUAGUCAA
This 63-nucleotide transfer RNA is filed under the name Paxillus rubicundulus Ve08.2h10. Its description in RNAcentral is "tRNA-OTHER". Lineage: Eukaryota; Fungi; Basidiomycota; Agaricomycetes; Boletales; Paxillaceae. The record is from RNAcentral.